This 305-nucleotide ribosomal RNA is filed under the name uncultured bacterium. RNAcentral describes it as "bacterial SSU rRNA". It matches the Rfam family "Bacterial small subunit ribosomal RNA", at positions 335 to 637 of the family's 1533-position model. The record is from RNAcentral.
UGCCUACGGGGGGCAGCAGUGAGGAAUAUUGGUCAAUGGGCGCGAGCCUGAACCAGCCAAGUCGCGUGAGGGAGGACGGCCCUACGGGUUGUAAACCUCUUUUGCCGGGGAGCAACGGGCGUCACGUGUGGCGCCACUGAGAGUACCCGGAGAAAAAGCAUCGGCUAACUCCGUGCCAGCAGCCGCGGUAAUACGUAGGUGGCAAGCGUUGUCCGGAUUUACUGGGUGUAAAGGGCGUGCAGCCGGGCUGACAAGUCAGAUGUGAAAUCCCGCGGCUCAACCGCGGAACUGCAUUUGAAACUGUC